GGGGCUGAUUCUGGAUUCGACGGGAUUUGCGAAACCCAAGGUGCAUGCCGAGGGGCGGUUUGCCUCGUUAAAAGCCGCAAAAAAAUAGUCGCAAACGACGAAAACUACGCUUUAGCAGCUUAAUAACCUGCUAAGAGCCCUCUCUCCCUAGCUUCCGCUCUUAAGACG
This 168-nucleotide transfer-messenger RNA is filed under the name Escherichia coli. RNAcentral describes it as "partial transfer-messenger RNA". It matches the Rfam family "transfer-messenger RNA", at positions 1 to 174 of the family's 374-position model. From Rfam's summary of the family: Bacterial tmRNA, also known as 10Sa RNA or SsrA, is named for its dual tRNA and mRNA-like properties. Its role is to liberate the mRNA from a stalled ribosome. To accomplish this part of the tmRNA is used as a reading frame that ends in a translation stop signal. The record is from RNAcentral. Lineage: Bacteria; Pseudomonadati; Pseudomonadota; Gammaproteobacteria; Enterobacterales; Enterobacteriaceae. RNAcentral also lists the same sequence under 1 other name.